This 629-nucleotide ribosomal RNA is filed under the name uncultured fungus. RNAcentral describes it as "eukaryotic LSU rRNA". It matches the Rfam family "Eukaryotic large subunit ribosomal RNA", at positions 24 to 664 of the family's 3401-position model. The record is from RNAcentral. Lineage: Eukaryota; Fungi.
CCCGCUGAACUUAAGCAUAUCAAUAAGCGGAGGAAAAGAAACCAACAGGGAUUGCCUUAGUAACGGCGAGUGAAGCGGCAAUAGCUUAAAUUUGAAGUCUGGCGCUUUUGGGCGUCCGAGUUGUAAUUUGUAGAGGAUGUUUCGGUAUAGGCUCCGGUCUAAGUCCCUUGGAACAGGGCGUCGCAGAGGGUGAGAGUCCCGUCCGGGACCGACAGCCUCAGUCAUGUGAAACUCCUUCGACGAGUCGAGUUGUUUGGGAAUGCAGCUCUAAUUGGGAGGUAAAUUUCUUCUAAAGCUAAAUACUGGCCAGAGACCGAUAGCGCACAAGUAGAGUGAUCGAAAGAUGAAAAGCACUUUGGAAAGAGAGUUAAACAGUACGUGAAAUUGUUGAAAGGGAAGCGCUUGCAAUCAGACCUGCGUGCAGUGGUUCAUUUAGUCAUUUAGCCUGGUGCAUUCUUCAGUAACACAGCCCAGUAUCGGUGUGGGCGGUUGGAUAAAGAAUUCAGGAAGGUAGCUCUUUUGGGGGAGUGUUAUAGCCUGUUGUGUAAUGCAGCCAGCCCAGAUCGAGGACCGCGCCUUCGGCUAGGAUGCUGGCGUAAUGGUUGUAAGCGGCCCGUCUUGAAACACGG